AACGGCGAACGGGUGAGUAACACUGGGCAACCUGCCCCUAGCACUGGGAUAACUCCGGGAAACCGGGGCUAAUACCGGAUACGACCUCUGAGGGCAUCCUCCGGAGGUGGAAAGCAUUGUGGCUAGGGAUGGGCCCGCGGCCUAUCAGCUUGUUGGUGAGGUAACGGCCCACCAAGGCGACGACGGGUAGCCGGCCUGAGAGGGCGACCGGCCACACUGGGACUGAGACACGGCCCAG
This 238-nucleotide ribosomal RNA is filed under the name uncultured bacterium. RNAcentral's name for it is "partial 16S ribosomal RNA". It matches the Rfam family "Bacterial small subunit ribosomal RNA", at positions 94 to 334 of the family's 1533-position model. The record is from RNAcentral.